RNAcentral lists this ribosomal RNA (162 nucleotides) under uncultured Acinetobacter sp. Its description in RNAcentral is "partial 16S ribosomal RNA". It matches the Rfam family "Bacterial small subunit ribosomal RNA", at positions 384 to 535 of the family's 1533-position model. Lineage: Bacteria; Pseudomonadati; Pseudomonadota; Gammaproteobacteria; Moraxellales; Moraxellaceae. The record is from RNAcentral.
UGAUCCAGCCAUGCCGCGUGUGUGAAGAAGGCCUUAUGGUUGUAAAGCACUUUAAGCGAGGAGGAGGCUUACCUAGAUAAUACCUAGGAUAAGUGGACGUUACUCGCAGAAUAAGCACCGGCUAACUCUGUGCCAGCAGCCGCGGUAAUACGUAGGUCCCUG